This 253-nucleotide ribosomal RNA is filed under the name uncultured bacterium. RNAcentral describes it as "partial 16S ribosomal RNA". It matches the Rfam family "Bacterial small subunit ribosomal RNA", at positions 524 to 776 of the family's 1533-position model. The record is from RNAcentral.
UACGUAGGGUGCAAGCGUUAAUCGGAAUUACUGGGCGUAAAGCGUGCGCAGGCGGUCCGUUAAGACAGAUGUGAAAGCCCCGGGCUUAACCUGGGAACUGCGUUUGAUACGGAUGGGCUAGAGUUCGGGAGAGGAGAGUGGAAUUCCCAGUGUAGAGGUGAAAUUCGUAGAUAUUGGGAAGAACACCGGUGGCGAAGGCGGCUCUCUGGACCGAGACUGACGCUGAGGCGCGAAAGCGUGGGGAGCAAACAGG